Molecule: ribosomal RNA, 303 nt
Filed under: uncultured bacterium
Lineage: Bacteria
Description: partial 16S ribosomal RNA
Rfam family: Bacterial small subunit ribosomal RNA
Source: RNAcentral
AGCAGUAGCCGCGGUAAUACAGAGGGUGCGAGCGUUAAUCGGAUUUACUUGGCGUAAAGCGUGCGUAGGCGGCUUCUUAAGUCGGAUGUGAAAUCCCUGAGCUUAACUUAGGAAUUGCAUUCGAUACUGGGAAGCUAGAGUAUGGGAGAGGAUGGUAGAAUUCCAGGUGUAGCGGUGAAAUGCGUAGAGAUCUGGAGGAAUACCGAUGGCGAAGGCAGCCAUCUGGCCUAAUACUGACGCUGAGGUACGAAAGCAUGGGGAGCAAACAGGAUUAGAUACCCCAGUAGUCCCUGUCUCUUAUAC